This 319-nucleotide ribosomal RNA is filed under the name Candidatus Nitrosopumilus sp. RNAcentral's name for it is "bacterial SSU rRNA". It matches the Rfam family "Archaeal small subunit ribosomal RNA", at positions 1 to 323 of the family's 1478-position model. The record is from RNAcentral. Lineage: Archaea; Thermoproteati; Nitrososphaerota; Nitrososphaeria; Nitrosopumilales; Nitrosopumilaceae.
GAAUCCGGUUGAUCCUGCCGGACCUGACUGCUAUCGGAUUGAUACUAAGCCAUGCGAGUCAUUGUAGCAAUACAAGGCAUACGGCUCAGUAACGCGUAGUCAACCUAACCUAUGGACGGGAAUAACCUCGGGAAACUGAGAAUAAUGCCCGAUAGAACAUUAUACCUGGAAUGGUUUAUGUUCCAAAUGAUUUAUCGCCGUAGGAUGGGACUGCGGCCUAUCAGUUUGUUGGUGAGGUAAUGGCCCACCAAGACUAUUACAGGUACGGGCUCUGAGAGGAGUAGCCCGGAGAUGGGUACUGAGACACGGACCCAGGCCC